GAACGCUGGCGGCGCAUUUAAGACAUGCAAGUCGAACGAAAAUUUACUGUGUGAAUGUUUAGUUACUAUAACACGAACUUUGUAAAUUUAGUGGCGGACGGGUGAGUAAUGCAUAGAUAAUCUGCCUUUUAGCGAGGAAUAACUACUGGAAACGGUAGCUAAUACCUCAUAAGACCACACUGUGGCAUCACAGAGAGGUCAAAGGAGAAAUCCACUAGAAGAUGAGUCUAUGUCUGAUUAGCUAGUUGGCAAGGUAAGAGCUUACCAAGGCGAUGAUCAGUAGCCGGGCUGAGAGGCUGGCCGGCCACAUUGGGACUGAGACACGGCCCAGACUCCUACGGGAGGCAGCAGUUGGGAAUAUUGGACAAUGGAGGAAACUCUGAUCCAGUGACGCCGCGUGAAGGAAGAAGGUCUUCGGAUUGUAAACUUAUUUUAUCAGGGAAGAAAAAAAUGACAGUACCUGAAGAAAAAGGACCGGCUAACUACGUG
This 489-nucleotide ribosomal RNA is filed under the name uncultured bacterium. Its description in RNAcentral is "bacterial SSU rRNA". It matches the Rfam family "Bacterial small subunit ribosomal RNA", at positions 31 to 507 of the family's 1533-position model. The record is from RNAcentral.